This 201-nucleotide ribosomal RNA is filed under the name uncultured bacterium. RNAcentral describes it as "partial 16S ribosomal RNA". It matches the Rfam family "Bacterial small subunit ribosomal RNA", at positions 1290 to 1500 of the family's 1533-position model. The record is from RNAcentral.
AGUUCGGAUCGCAGCCUGCAACCCGGCUGCGUGAAGCUGGAAUCGCUAGUAAUCGCGGAUCAGAAUGCCGCGGUGAAUACGUUCCCGGGUCUUGUACACACCGCCCGUCACACCAUGGGAGCCGGAAACGCCCGAAGUUGGUCGAGGAAUAGAUUACCUAAGGCGAAACCAAUGACUGGGGUGAAGUCGUAACAAGGUAGC